UUACUGUUAAACUGACCAGUGUACCUGUUUGUCUAUGUUACCUUGAUUUCUAUAUUUAGAAUCUUAAUUAAGGCUAUAUUUCUUAUGGAUAGUGAUUUUGGUCACAUGUUCUUUUUGGAGGGAAAAUUCUAUUGUUCUGGUCACUUUUAUUUCAACUGUCAUAAUGAGCAGAUAUAUUUCACAGUUUUAGAGUUUGCAAAUUGUCUUAUAUGAAUUAUUGUAUAGUUAUUGCUGAAUCUUUUGGGAAUCCACUUACAUUAUUACUACUUUACAGGUUAAUAUUUGAUGUACAUGUAGCCAAUACACAUAUGAAGUCUUGUGACCUUCAAACUAGCACUUGAGAUGAUGUUGGGAUAGAGGGGAACUUAUAAUAAUGGAGGGGACAGCUGUAGAUGAAACUUUUGAGGUAGAAGAUCACAUGUUGUAAUGAGAAGACAGAUCUGCUGAGAGUUUUGUGAUGUAGAGGUUUGAGCUUCUCUAAAUUUGACUAAAAGAUAUUGAUAAUGAGUUUGGUUAAAUUAGACAUUUAAAAAAGAAUAAUGUUUUAAGGGCUGAUGAUCCAUUUCCUUUAUUAUCUAAAUAUACAUGUUCACAGAAAUGAAGUCUGCAGAUGACUUAUUGCAGUUGGAACAACAUCCAGAAUCCUGUGAAGAGUGGACUCUCUUAGUUACUUUACUGCUAAAAAGUCCCUAAUUAAAAUAAAAUUGAGAAUGAAAAUGGGGAAUGUGCUAAAGAGACAACAUUCCCGCACCCAGAGGCAUUCUUCAGCUGGCCCCGAAACAAAUAUAUUAUAGUUCAGUGAUAAUGAAUGCCAUACUAAACUUCAAAUUAUACACAAGAAACUAAAAGUUAAAAUAAUAGAAGACUAACAAAGGUAAGAGGCUCCUGACUUGGAACAGGCGCAUAAAUGCGGCAGGGUUAAACAUGUUUGUGAGAUCCCUCCCCCUAUACCUCUAGCCAAUGCAGAAAAGUAAAAGCAUAACAAUAAGCACAUCAAAAUUCAGUUCAAGAGAAGUCCGGGUCUGAUGUCAAAAGAUGUAACCAAAAAAAAUAAACAAAAUGACAAUAAUACAUAAAUAACAUCAGACUGCUUGUAGUUAACUGACAUGCCUAAUUAUUCAUUUAAGUUUCUUUUUAAGUAUAGCCACCAAAAUUUAGGUGAAAUUGUGCUGAAAUAUGGAAAUAUAGUAGAAUUUCCCAAAAAAAACUCUAGCCCUUAUAUUACACAUCUUUUGUUGGCGCGGCUGUUUACUACAUGUAUUUAAGAAAAAUGAAAUUUAAAAAAAAAUGAACAGAAGAAAAAAAUAUGAUACUGCUGAAAACUUGUGUAAUAUAGAGAUUUGAGUUUCUAUAAAUUUGAGUUAAAAUGCAUUGAUUAUAAGAUUUGUUAAAUAAGAUCUUUAUAAUAUGUUUUAUAAAGCCUAAAGAUCUACUUCUUUUAUUUUUUAAUACACAUGCUUCCAGAAAUGAAGUCUGCAGAUGACUUAUUGCUGAACUACAUUCUGAAUUUUAGAUCAUGAAUCAUAGGAAGAAUUGACUUUUAACUUUAUCUUUUAAAACCCUAAUUGUUCAGUAGAUUCUUUUUAAACAGCCAUUGAAAUUAAGGUGAAAAUUUUGAAAAAAUAUAAAAUUUAGAAUUUCCCAAGAAUAUCUAGCCUUUAUAUUGCACAUCUUUGUUGGGGCAGCAGUAUAUUUAAAAAGAAAAGCAAGAGAAAAACAUAAUGGGAAAAAAUUUAUACUGCUGAAAAUUUAAGUUUUUAUGAAAGAUGAUUUUUGAGUUUUUAUUUGUGAAGGAAGCGGGUGUGCUUGGAGAAAACCUAAGACCUUUGCUCGGAAAACUGACAAUCCUAGUCCAUUAAGAUUGGAGUCAAAUGCACCUGCACGAGAGGGUUUAAGCUCACAACCUCAGUGUUGACUGGCUAGUGAUUACAGUAGUAACUACAUACAUGUAGACCACUUGGCCACCUAGACCCCUAUAACAUUUGAAUAUAAAGAUCUAUUUAGUAUUAGGGAUCAUGUACAGUCAAGCCUGUUUUAAGCAUGUCACUCAUGGGAAGUAUCAAAAGAAGUUCUGAAAAAUUCCCAGUCCAAAAAAAACAAUGUGGCUGGGAUUAAAACUUGAUUUAGUUUUAUAGUUGGAAGAUUUAUUGUUCUGACAUGUGAGCAGACAAAUAUUAAAUGGUGGACUCUUUCACUGUUAAUUAGAAGAAGACAUUAAUGGUGUUUAUACACUUGGCUAAAUAAGUCCAUGAAGGUGUAACACCACUAAUUCAGGCCCGGCAAGAAAGCACAUACCAGAAAGUAGUACAUAUUUAACACAAAAUAGUUCCUACGCAUGGACAUAUCUUUCAAAAUGUGUAGAAUAUUUUAUUAAUUUUGGUAUCAAAUGAAAGCUGCAUAACUGGUGAUCAUUGUAGAACAAUUUUUGACUGAUAAAUUUGAAUAAUAAAAAAAUGGCAUGAAAUUUAAAAAGGAGGGUACAUUUUGCCUUUUUGUCAGAUCGGAAGUACCUGUUUUGGUACAUCCGUAGCUCCGGGAACCAGUUCUUUCUUCUAUGCAAUUAAAGGUAUGUUGAUUUUUUCAGUACAGGAUACCAGAAGGUGUUGCUUUGAAAUGCAAUGAUUGCCACUUUAUUUGAACUUAAAAUAAAAGAGGUGUGCCUGCUUGAAACGGAGGAAUUUAACAUAGAAAGCAAUGGGACCAUGAAUUAGUGGUGUACUUCCUGAAAUGCUUUUCAAUGAUAUUAAUUGAAGGAAGAGGAAUACAAAGGAUUCACAAAUUUAAUUCCUAUUUCUAGAUCUUUGUUUCAAACGGGUUCCUUUUUUGAUUUUGAUACAGAACAUAGAUAUUUUUCAUCAUGAUUAUAAUCAUGAUAAUUGGUAACUGAAAAACAGUACAAUGAUGAUUUCGUGCACUAAUAUAAAGGUGACCACAUGUACAGGUGACCACUGAAAUAUUCAGAACAAAUGCUUAAGAUGGUAUCUUAAGGCAGGUUUGACUGUAAAUGAUUAUAUUUUUUCACAUCUAGAAUUUUGGUUAACAAUAAAUCAUGUAAAGAAUGACUUUCUUUCAACUUGAUCAUUAACAAUCCUUGUUUCAGAAGUAUCUUUUUAAGCAGCAACUGUUUUUUUAAAGGAAUCAUAGCUACAUGCAUGAGAUGCAAAGAGUGGAAUAAUUAGCAAGGAGACAUGAAAUUCAUUUACAGGUAUAAUUGGAUUGCUGCUACACAUGGAAAGUUCACAAUGGGGAAAUUGAAGUCUCUUUUGUCAAAUUAUAGCUCUCAGCUGGUCCUUGCUGAUGGCUUCUAGGCGACGGCAAGAAUGAAGUACAGCGCCAUAUCUGUUGUAUCCUUCUUCUGGUUCACACAGUGGGUUAGUUGGGAUCAACUUUUUUUGGUUACCUUUUAAGAGAUCACCUACAUUGUGGAAUGUGAAAUUAAGGGAUAAUGCUUGAUUCUUUUUAUCCUUGAUUAGUGCCUGUAUGAAGUCUGCCUUAAAAGGGGCAGGGUUCCCAUAGCAAUGUCAACAUUUUUUAUUGUUCUUUUUUUAAAUUUUUUAAUAGUUUUCUCAAUAAAACUUUUUUCUGUUUUGUCCUUUUUUUCAGAUUUAUCAAACUUCUUCUUCUUCAACAUUAUUUCAUUAUUUAUUAUUUAACUUUUCUUAUUCUGAAUCAGUAUUAAGGUCUGCAGCAAUGCUUUUAGAAAUUUUAAUUGUUAUUUUCCUGUAAAUUUACAGUUUAUUAAGUAUGAGAUAAUGAUAUCUCUUUUGGCUUUUUAAUGAUCAUGUCAAUUGGCUAAACAAAGUUUUAGUCUCUGGCAAUCUUAAUGAAGGUUAUUCCACUAACCAGUUGGCUACACUGAAAAUUGUAACAUCCAUUCAUUUAAGUUUAUGAAAUAUUUUAAUUUCUUUAAAAAUUAUACUUAUGUCCCUCCAUAUCUAGUACUUCAUUUAAAAAUCUUUUCAUUCUAUGAAGUAUCAACACUAACCUGGGGGGUUUACUAACAUGAUACUUCCUAAAUAGGUUGUUAGGUAUUUAAGUGGCAUGAUAGAGUGGCACAAGGGAGAGAGAGAUUGGUGUAUGACAUUCUAGUAAGGGUUUGGGGUACUAACCAGAUGGAGGGAUAUGGUUGCUUUUUAUUCAUUAAGUAUGUGUGCAGAAUUGAAUUUAUUGGGUUGAGACUGAUUGUUGUUAGUAAAUGACUUUCUAAAGACAAAAUGCCAUUAAUUUAGUCUUACAUAUUAUUAUAACUUCAGAUAAAUACCUAAUACCUAAAAUUCAGAAUGGGACAGUUAAAUAAGUAAUUUUUUGUGGGGGGCGAUGAAAUGUAAAAUUUGAAGAAAAAAAAAUUCUUUAGACCUAUUCAUGUUUACAAUUUUUUUAUUUCAUUUCUUCACUUCAAUUUCGAUUGACCAUUGUGAUGAUAUUCAAAUUUUAAUUUGAUGGGGAACAGAUAAAUGACAACCUUCCUUUUUAAAAUCAAUUUAAUGUCAUAUUUUUGUAACACAGUUGACAUUUCUAUAGGAACUUAUUACUGUAAACCAACUCAUUUUAUGGACAUUUUAUUCGUGUUGCGCCAUUUCUAUCAAUCUUCGCAGCGUUUUUUUUUUCGUGUAUCACCCUUUCUAUCAUAUUUCACAUAGGAUUUUUUCCUGUGUAUAAACGAAAAAAGAAGAUGUAGUUUGAUUGCCAAUGAGACUUUACACUCCACAAGAGACUAAAUGAUACAGAAACUAACAGCUAUAGGUCACUGUAUGACCUUCAACAAUGAGCAAAGCAGAAAAAGAUGUGUUAUGAUUGCCAAUGAAACAACUCUUUACAUGAGACUAAAUAACAUAGAAAUUAACAGCUACAGGUCACUGUACGGCCUUCAACAAUGAGCAAAGCAGAAAAAGAUGUGUUAUGAUUGCCAAUGAAACAACUUUCCACAAGAGACUAAAUAACAUAGAAAUUAACAGCUAUAGGUCACUGUACGGCCUUCAACAAUGAGCAAAGCAGAAAAAGAUGUGUUAUGAUUGCUAAUGAAACAACUCUCCACAAGAGACUAAAUGACACAAAAAUUUACAGCUACAUGUCACUGUACAGCCUUCCACAAUGAGCAAAGCAGAUACCACACAUUCAACUAUAAAAGGCUCAGAAAUCACAAAUGAAAAAAUUAAAAGAAAAGAAUCCCAUAUUGCUGUUUUUUACAUAUUUUGCAUGGAUGUGUUAUCUUAUUUUUCGGGUUACUUCAUUCUAUUUUGAAAUAUUUGUGAUUUAUAUUCGGCUUAUUUCUUUUCGCUUGAAGUCGCGUUAAUAAAUUGUCUGAAAAAUGAGUUGGUUCACAGUAUGCUCCUCUUCUAGUCUUGGUUUCUCCCUCCCUCCCCCUUGUAGCAGUCUCAAUAAUCCUUUAUUCCCCGCCCCACCUUGGUCAAAGGCAGGGUCUUAAAUUGCAUAUGAUAUGAUUGCCAAUAAGACAAACUCUUCAUCUGAAGACCAAAUGUCAAAGAUUGAUGCAGCUGGGGUCUGUAACAAAUAAGGAGAUGUGAUAUGAUUGCCAAUAAGACAAAGUCUUCAUCAAGACCAAAUGACAGAGAUUGAUGCAGGGUCUUUAACACUGGAGCAAUGACCUUAUAUUUCAACACGUGACAAAUAUGGAGAUGUGAUAUGAUUGCCAAUAAGACAUUUAUUAAACUAUUCAUCAAGACCAAAUGACAGAGAUUGAUGCAGGGUCUUUGACAAUGGAGCAAUGACCUAAUAUUUCAACAGGUAACAAAUAUUGAGAUGUGAUAUGAUUGCCAAUAAGACAUUUAUUAAACUCCUCAUCACAACCAAAUGACAGAGAUUGAUGCAGGGUCUUUGACAAUGGAGCAAUGACCUAAUAUUUCAACUUGUAACAAAUAUGGAGAUGUGAUAUGAUUGCCAAUAAGACAUUUAUUAAACUCUUCAUCACGACCAAAUGACCAAAUGACAGAGAUGGAUGCAGGGUCUUUAACAUUAGAGCAAUGACCUAAUAUUUCAACAAUUCAAGUAUGGAGAUGUGAUAUGAUUGCCAAUAAGACAUUUAUUAAACUCUUCAUCACGACCAAAUGACAGAGAUUAAUGCAGGGUCUUUAACAAUGGAGCAAUGACCUAAUAUUUCAAAAAUGCAAAUAUGGAGAUGUGAUAUGAUUGCUAGUAAGACAAACUUUUCAUCAAGACCAAAUGUCAAGAGAUUGAUGCAGGGUCUUUAACAAUGGAGCAAUGACCUAAUAUUUCAUAUACAAAUCCCAUUUACAUAUAAACAUCAGAUGUGGUAUGAUUGCCUUUGGUACAAGUAUGUUGCUGGUUUUAGAUAUCCACCCUAUCAUUCAUCUUUACAUAUGAAGUAGACUUGAUUCAGAGGCUUGUUGGGGAUAACAGAGGAACUUGCACUGUACUUUUACCUCACAUUCCUCAAUUUAGGUAUUUCUUUUUUCAAAAUUCAAAAUUAUUUUUUUUUUUUUUUUUUGGGUUUUCAUUUAUAUAAAGAUAAUUCAAAGUUUGUUGACAUUAUUGAUUUCUUUUUUCAAAAUUCAAAAUUACUUUUUUUUUCUUUUUUUUUUGGUUUUCAUUUAUAUAAAGAUAAUUCAAAGUUUGUUGACAUUAUUGAUUUCUUUUUUCAAAAUUCAAAAUUCCUUUUUUUUUUUUUUUUUUUGGUUUUCAUUUAUAUAAAGAUAAUUCAAAGUUUUUUGACAUUAUUGAUUCCUUACUUUUUUACUUUUUUUAUUUUUGGUUUUCAUUUAUAUAAAGAUAAUUCAAAGUUUGUUGCCAUUAUCGAUUCCUUCUGUAAUUCCUACAUGUAUAUAUAUAUAUAUAAAACAGCUAGUUGUAAGGAGCAUCCGAUAUAGGAAGACUGGCUCAUAUCUUGACCUUAGCCUGGGGUUGUUGGUGAGGUCAGUUGGGAACUAUAAAAAAUUACAACAAAGGAGACUUCUUUUUUUCUGAUUGUGAACCUUCUAUUAUUAUGUAGCAACAAUCCAGGUAUAGUUGUAUAUAUGGAUUUUGUAUCUCCAUGUUGAUUAUUUUACUCCUUGCAUGUGCUGUACUUGUUUCCUUAAUAACAUGUCUGCUGUUUUUAAAGGA
Molecule: long non-coding RNA, 7080 nt
Organism: Mytilus trossulus (common blue mussel)
Lineage: Eukaryota; Metazoa; Mollusca; Bivalvia; Mytilida; Mytilidae
Exons: 3
Source: RefSeq, a predicted model, not a curated record